GGGGGUGAAAGGAUUCGACGGGAGUGGAUGCGGUAGGAAUUGCGUGCCGAGGUCCCCUAUAACCUCGUAAAACCAUUGGGAAACAAACCAACUGCAGACGAACCUUCGUAUGCAAUGGCUGCCUAAAUUAGUUUAGUGUAGCCCGUUCUUGAUGAUUCCUGCCUGCGGGGUUGUCAAGAGCGCCGAUAAGGCAGGCUGGCUCCGUUUUGUGUCUCAGGGCACGGAGCGAGACUAAAACUGAGGCUGGUUCCGGUAAUAUCCCGCCUGUUGGAGCUUUCCGGAACGAGAUUUAAAAAAUAGGCUACGCAUGUAGACGUUCUUGCUUUGACAUUUUCGGACGGGGGUUCAAUUCCCCCCACCUCCAUAG
This 367-nucleotide transfer-messenger RNA is filed under the name Candidatus Latescibacterota bacterium. It matches the Rfam family "transfer-messenger RNA". From Rfam's summary of the family: Bacterial tmRNA, also known as 10Sa RNA or SsrA, is named for its dual tRNA and mRNA-like properties. Lineage: Bacteria; Pseudomonadati; Candidatus Latescibacterota. The record is from RNAcentral.